GUACACGCUGUGACUAGCAUAUCAAUAAGCGGAGGAAAAGAAACUAACAAGGAUUCCCCUAGUAACGGCGAGUGAAGCGGGAAGAGCUCAAAUUUGAAAUCUUCAAGGUUUUACCUUGACGAAUUGUAGUUUAAAGAAGUGUUUUCUGUUGAGGUUUUGGUAAAAGUUCUUUGGAAUAGGACAUCAUAGAGGGUGAGAACCCCGUAUUUGACCUUUACUUUCAACUUUGUGAUACACUUUCAAAGAGUCGGAUUGUUUGGGAAUGCAGUCCAAAAUGGGUGGUAAAUUUCAUCUAAAGCUAAAUAUUGGCGAGAGACCGAUAGCGAACAAGUACCGUGAGGGAAAGAUGAAAAGAACUUUGAAAAGAGAGUUAAACAGUACGUGAAAUUGUCAAAAGGGAAGCGUUUGACACCAGUGUUGUUUUUCUGAAAAUCAAUUAAAGAACUGUUUAUGCUAAGCUGUUUAGACUUUAUCAGCUAUCUGUUUAGUUUUGAGCUUUUCUUUAAUGCACUUUUCAGUUAACAAGUCAACAUCAAUUUCUUUUGCUGUAAAAAAGCUUGAGGAAGGUGGCUUGAGAUUCGUCCUUAAGUGUUUAUAGCCUCUUGCCUAUGCAGUCGGAGAGAUUGAGGUCUGCAGCGUAGAUCCUUCGGGGCUAAAUGCAUUUGUGCUAAGUUAUAGCAUUUUAUAGACAACUUGUUGACUAUGAUUUGUCUUGUAGCUUACUCGCUUAUGUUAUUUUACCUACGCUUAGGAUGUUGAUAUGCAUGACUGAUAU
This 775-nucleotide ribosomal RNA is filed under the name uncultured Neocallimastigales. RNAcentral describes it as "partial large subunit ribosomal RNA". It matches the Rfam family "Eukaryotic large subunit ribosomal RNA", at positions 22 to 640 of the family's 3401-position model. The record is from RNAcentral. Lineage: Eukaryota; Fungi; Neocallimastigomycota; Neocallimastigomycetes; Neocallimastigales.